UUAAUGGGUAUGCGAAAAGCAAAAGAAAAGAAGUGAUUGUGAAGCUUGCUGAAGAAAUGCUCCAAAAGGGAUUGACACUUGACGUGGAAACUCAUAGCAUGCUAAGAGAGUUGAGAAGGCUAUGAAAGUUGUAUGUUACAGAUGGUUGUAAGUUGAACGAGAACUCACUCUCAUAAUUGUAUCAUGAGUUGGACAGGAUGCAACUCCUCUUUGUUUACAUUGCAUGAAAGGUAUUGCGUUGAUAGUAUGUAUAAAAUGUCACUGUCUUUUGCUCCAAAAUAGGCAUACUUACUGCCUCUUCUCCCUAGUCAGCUAAAAGGUUUUGUUCUAUUUAGACUUGAGGUGGACCUGGAAUCUUGUAGUUGGGCAAAAUGUAUUGCUCAAUCUUUGCCAA
This is a long non-coding RNA of Hibiscus syriacus, 394 nucleotides long. RefSeq lists it as uncharacterized. The record is from RefSeq and is a predicted model, not a curated record. Lineage: Eukaryota; Viridiplantae; Streptophyta; Magnoliopsida; Malvales; Malvaceae. The transcript is spliced from 2 exons.